This 548-nucleotide ribosomal RNA is filed under the name uncultured Alphaproteobacteria bacterium. RNAcentral's name for it is "bacterial SSU rRNA". It matches the Rfam family "Bacterial small subunit ribosomal RNA", at positions 127 to 705 of the family's 1533-position model. Lineage: Bacteria; Pseudomonadati; Pseudomonadota; Alphaproteobacteria. The record is from RNAcentral.
UAUCGUUGGGUGGGGGACAACCGCGGGAAACUGCGGCCAAUACUGCAUGACGCCUUUGGGCCAAAGCCUGUGAGGGCGCCUGACGAGGAGCCUGCGUCCGAUUAGCUAGUUGGUUGGGUAAUGGCUGACCAAGGCUGUGAUCGGUAGCUGGUCUGAGAGGAUGAUCAGCCACACUGGGACUGAGACACGGCCCAGACUCCUACGGGAGGCAGCAGUGGGGAAUAUUGGACAAUGGGCGCAAGCCUGAUCCAGCAAUGCCGCGUGGAUGAAGAAGGUUUUCGGAUUGUAAAGUCCUUUCGGCGGGGACGAUGAUGACGGUACCCGCAGAAGAAGCCCCGGCUAACUUCGUGCCAGCAGCCGCGGUAAUACGAAGGGGGCUAGCGUUGCUCGGAAUGACUGGGCGUAAAGGGCGCGUAGGCGGAUUUGUCAGUCGGGCGUGAAAUUCCUGGGCUUAACCUGGGGGCUGCGUUCGAGACGGCGGGUCUUGAGUUUGGAAGAGGGUCGUGGAAUUCCCAGUGUAGAGGUGAAAUUCGUAGAUAUUGGGAAGA